Molecule: long non-coding RNA, 213 nt
Filed under: Setaria viridis
Lineage: Eukaryota; Viridiplantae; Streptophyta; Magnoliopsida; Poales; Poaceae
Description: long non-coding RNA (SVIR_LNC006640)
Source: RNAcentral
ACUAAAGCAUGAGUGUCGCGUGUUAGGCGACUUAACCGUGCUUUAAUCAAGCUAAUCCGAGGUGGAUCCGCCACAAAUCUCCUGGCUGGCCCAAGAAAGAAGAAGGUGAAAAAUUCCCCAAAAUUCCGAUCUAACCCCCUCUUUCUUCCUAUUCGCAAAUGAGUCCCUCCACCACUCUCCAGAUAUUCUCGCAGAUCAGCCCCUCCACUCCCG